AGAAAAAUAAAGGAAGUAGGAGGAAAAUAAAUGAAGUAGGAGGAAGAAAAAUAAAUGAAGUAGAAGAAAAAUAAAUGAAGUAGGAGGCCUGAGUUACUGUUGUUGUCAAAACAACGUUUGAGACACAUAUGCAAUUUUUUUUAAUAGCAGAUGUAUGCAAUAAUAUAUAUUGUUAUGGACUAGGCUUAUGACUCAAUCGCCGAGGAAAUCCUCCUCUUGAACCUUUAUAAAUUAGAUAAAUUUAUAAAUAAAGUUCUUUUAAGAUUAAAGUUUUUUUUUUUUACAAUAAACUGAGGAUCGAUCCCAGCACCUAUAACGUACUACUCAAACCCCUCACCACUAGACCAAACCUAGUGGCUUGAGAUUUAUUUAAUUAAAGUUGUGCUUAUUUAUAAGCAUAACUUUAAAUCAUCUUUUGUUCAAUAUGAGACUUUUAACACUAAACCAUAAACUCAUAUAAAAUAGAUAACGAAAAGUUAAAUUUAGAUUAAGAGAGAUCUACCAUUAUAUUUAGUACACCAUUAUUCCAGCUUUUGAUUAGCUAGAUUCUUGCUUACCAUAGUUUUGCUAUUUCUAUUCAAUAUCUCUUCCAAAAACAAAACAAUGAAGACAUGUAAUUUCAUUAUAUAUAGAUUUUUUUUUAUAAGCAACAUUAUAUAUAGAUAUAAUGAGGGACACCAUCUCCCUGUGUUUGUUAAUGUUUAUAAUUUGUGGAUAUGCAAUUUCUAUUAUCAACUAAUUAUAAUAUUUGUCGUAAUUUUGUCUACCUCAAGAAUUAACUUUUUUUUUUUUAACUAAACCUCAUGAAUUAACUUAUGAAAAAUCAUUUGAAUUUUUUCUUUGAUUUUGAAUUUUUACAUGUCUUGGCAUUUUCAAAAUUUCAAAAAUAUUUAUUUUGCUAAAAAAUUUACCGUGAGCCGAAUACUACUCAUUUAAGUGCAAAUUUAAAGACUCGGUGAGAUAAUAUGACAUAACUCUUUCAAGAUCAAAGUUUCACAAUACCAAUCGUUAGUUAGUUAGUUAGUUAGUUAGUUAGUUAGUUAGUUAGUUAGUUAGUUAGUUAGUUUAGUCGUAGGGAGAAUCACAGUUCGAUUUCCCAGCCUGCAACUACGACCGAGAGGGGCUGAACUGAAACAAUCCCCAAAAUUCAUUAGACGGUUCAGACCGAAUAUCAAUAGUGAAAAUAAACCUAAAAAAAAAAUUACACAAUUGUCUGUAUUUUGGGUGAUAAAAGUAUAAAUAUUCUAGAAAACGGAUACUUUUCAAAUGAAUAUUUUGCCGCAAAGUAUUUAAUUACAUAAAUUUUAGUUAACAUCAACUAAGAUAUUGAGCUAAAGUGAUAAUAAAUUUUUCUUUGAACAAAUCGUUCGAAAGAACUCGAGUUCGAUUCCUGUUAGAAACAAUUUUUAAUUAAGAUUUGCUUAUUUUGAAGUUGAAUUCUUGAUUACCGAUGCUCCCUUCCUUUAAAAAUCAGAGGGUUAAAAAUUAGUUAAAGUCAAAUCAUUUCAAGCCAAUGUUUGUUCAAGUCCUCAAUGAAAUUAUCUAUUCUCAAACUUACUUGACUUUGACUGAUCUUCGAAUUACCAAAGCUUCGUUCUCUUAAAAGCUAGAGAAUCAAGAGAAAACAAGUAAUUAAUCAGAAGUAAGUGCCUUUUAACGUUAAAAAAACUAUUGGUUGUUUACAAAUAGAACUAUUGUUUUUAAUCAAGAAUACAUCAGCUGGGAUGAUAUUUUUUUUUGUCAGGUGAUUUAGUGGCUACACUACAUGGAUCUACUCAGAAAAUUCUUUGAUAUUUUUGCUUGAAACUACACUAAAUUGGACUAGACCGAAAGAAAAAUUAGUUAGCUCAGACUCAGGGCGUGAAAGAAAUUAAAUAGUAAAGAAAGGUUGUUACUUCACUCGGUCAAUGAGGAUAAACCAUUGUAUCUCACUUUUUACACCUCACUUCAAGCUUAAAUCUCCGUCUAUAAUCGGCUUCCUUUCUCGGUAUCGUGAGUCUAAACUCAUUAAGACAGUAGAGACGACCAAAAGUUGAAGUGACAUCUUUGACAUGCCGAGGUGCGUAAUGCAGGAAGUGACAUCUUUACCGAAAGUUGAAGUAAUUCCCCCAGCCAUCCCCAGUUUAGAGAUUUUGUCAACGAGGUCAUGCUCUUUGAGAGAAUCAUUUUGAUAUGUUAAAGUACCUUAACAAAUAUCUACUAAUCCGAUAUUAUUGGAUGUUUGUAAGAAACUAUGUUUUUGUCAUAUAUUUAGUUGUUAGAAUUUCACCAUUUAAGGUACAUAAGUGUAUAUAACAAAGUACAAAUUUCAUUCCUACACAUUACAUACAAUAUCCUUACCAACUAAGUUAUGAGCAUGAACGCACGGUACUUGUAAGAAAAGUUUUACAUGCAUCACAAAUGCCAAGAUAUGCAUUGAAAAAUAAUC
This 2428-nucleotide long non-coding RNA is filed under the name Trifolium pratense (red clover). RNAcentral's name for it is "long non-coding RNA (TPRA_LNC005100)". Lineage: Eukaryota; Viridiplantae; Streptophyta; Magnoliopsida; Fabales; Fabaceae. The record is from RNAcentral.